GUGUGAUCAUACCAGCACUAAUGCACCGGAUCCCAUCAGAACUCCGCAGUUAAGCGUGCUUGGGCGAGAGUAGCUCUAGGAUGGGUGACCUCCUGGGAAGUCCUCGUGUUGCACCCC
Molecule: ribosomal RNA, 117 nt
Filed under: Gossypium arboreum
Lineage: Eukaryota; Viridiplantae; Streptophyta; Magnoliopsida; Malvales; Malvaceae
Source: RNAcentral